Molecule: ribosomal RNA, 484 nt
Filed under: uncultured bacterium
Lineage: Bacteria
Description: partial 16S ribosomal RNA
Rfam family: Bacterial small subunit ribosomal RNA
Source: RNAcentral
GAUGAACGCUAGCGGGAGGCCUAACACAUGCAAGCCGAGCGGUAGAGUCUCUUCGGAGUCUUGAGAGCGGCGCACGGGUGCGGAACACGUGUGCAACCUGCCUUUAUCUGGGGGAUAGCCUUUCGAAAGGAAGAUUAAUACCCCAUAAUAUACUGGAUGGCAUCAUCUGGUAUUGAAAACUCCGGUGGAUAGAGAUGGGCACGCGCAAGAUUAGAUAGUUGGUGAGGUAACGGCUCACCAAGUCAGCGAUCUUUAGGUGGCCUGAGAGGGUGAUCACCCACACUGGAAUGGAGACACGGUCCAGACGACUACGGGACGAAGCAGUGGGGAAUAGUGGAGAAGGGGCGCAAGUUUGAUCCAGCCAUACCGCGUGGGUUAAGAAGGCAUUGGGGUUGUAAAGACCUCCUGGUGGGAAAGAAAAACAGCCGGUUAAUACCCCGCUGUUCUGACGGUACCCAAAGAAUAAGCACCGGCUAACUUCGUG